UCCUGGCUCGUCUCUAUGGUUGCGCCGGCGUUGGCGGUAUCGGCGGCUGACGAGCGCUGAGGCUUCCAACUUUGCGGCGGCUCUGCGCGUUGUGGGGCUCGGCGGGGCGCGAUGUCCGAGAAGAAGCAGCCUGUCGACCUGGGUCUCCUGGAAGAGGACGACGAGUUCGAGGAGUUUCCCGCCGAAGACUGGGCUGGCUUAGAUGAAGAUGAAGAUGCACAUGUCUGGGAGGAUAAUUGGGAUGACGACAAUGUAGAAGAUGACUUCUCCAAUCAGUUACGCGCUGAGCUAGAGAAGCAUGGUUACAAGAUGGAAACGUCAUAGCAUCCAGAAAUGUUUCAAGAACCUUAAACAUGGACUGUGUACUAAAUUCUAGGACAGGAAAACAAGGAUGGGAUACUUAAAGACUAUGUUUAUUUCAUUACCUGCUUGGAUUUAUUUUUGUUUUUAUAACAAAAUAAAUAAAUAAAUAAAUGUUUUGAUCUAA
Molecule: long non-coding RNA, 487 nt
Organism: Peromyscus maniculatus bairdii (prairie deer mouse)
Lineage: Eukaryota; Metazoa; Chordata; Mammalia; Rodentia; Cricetidae
Source: RefSeq, a predicted model, not a curated record